RNAcentral lists this transfer RNA (76 nucleotides) under compost metagenome. RNAcentral describes it as "tRNA-Lys". It matches the Rfam family "tRNA". Rfam says of the family: Transfer RNA (tRNA) molecules are approximately 80 nucleotides in length. Their secondary structure includes four short double-helical elements and three loops (D, anti-codon, and T loops). The record is from RNAcentral.
GGGUUGUUAGCUCAAUUGGAUUAGAGCAAGAGACUUUUAAUCUCGAGGUUCCGGGUUCGAAUCCCGGACGACCCAC